GACGAACGCUGGCGGCGUGCUUAACACAUGCAAGUCGAACGGAAAGGCCCUGCUUUUGUGGGGUGCUCGAGUGGCGAACGGGUGAGUAACACGUGAGUAACCUGCCCUUGACUUUGGGAUAACUUCAGGAAACUGGGGCUAAUACCGGAUAGGAGCUCCUGCUGCAUGGUGGGGGUUGGAAAGUUUCGGCGGUUGGGGAUGGACUCGCGGCUUAUCAGCUUGUUGGUGGGGUAGUGGCUUACCAAGGCUUUGACGGGUAGCCGGCCUGAGAGGGUGACCGGCCACAUUGGGACUGAGAUACGGCCCAGACUCCUACGGGAGGCAGCAGUGGGGAAUAUUGCACGAUGGGCGGAAGCCUGAUGCAGCAACGCCGCGUGCGGGAUGACGGCCUUCGGGCUGUAAACCGCUUUCGCCUGUGACGAAGCGUGAGUGACGGUAAUGGGUAAAGAAGCACCGGCUAACUACGUG
RNAcentral lists this ribosomal RNA (468 nucleotides) under uncultured bacterium. Its description in RNAcentral is "partial 16S ribosomal RNA". It matches the Rfam family "Bacterial small subunit ribosomal RNA", at positions 28 to 507 of the family's 1533-position model. The record is from RNAcentral.